GUCACUGUAGUUUAUACCUUUUUUAAAACCCGGCCCUGAAGUUGCCGAAAUGGAAGCUGCCUUCCCGAAGACA
RNAcentral lists this transfer RNA (73 nucleotides) under Heteronotia binoei (common prickly gecko). RNAcentral's name for it is "tRNA-Phe". The record is from RNAcentral. Lineage: Eukaryota; Metazoa; Chordata; Lepidosauria; Squamata; Gekkonidae.